GGCGAUUUCUGACCCUUCAGGACCAAGUUCCACAUCUGGAAAACGAAGGGAUUGUUGGGCCAGUUGGAGGAAGGGACGUGUUUGUACCAGCUCUGAAUUAAUUGCCAACCAUACAGCAACCAGGUCUUGUUACUCCAGAAUAAAACUAUCCCGAAAAUAAACGCUUUAAGCAAACAGAAUUGAUACAGUAA
Molecule: long non-coding RNA, 191 nt
Organism: Antechinus flavipes (yellow-footed antechinus)
Lineage: Eukaryota; Metazoa; Chordata; Mammalia; Dasyuromorphia; Dasyuridae
Exons: 2
Source: RefSeq, a predicted model, not a curated record